This is a long non-coding RNA of Zingiber officinale, 5321 nucleotides long. RefSeq lists it as uncharacterized. Lineage: Eukaryota; Viridiplantae; Streptophyta; Magnoliopsida; Zingiberales; Zingiberaceae. The record is from RefSeq and is a predicted model, not a curated record. The transcript has 2 exons.
CAAUGUCAGACAACCUCCGGUCCUCUACUCCUCAGUCCUCUCCCAUAGUUUCGAUAGUUCGACGCCUUCACAUUCCUCGCUGCUGUUUGCGAUCAGACGGACGGCAUCGCCAAAUAUUUUCGUUUCAUCACCAACUCUGCGAAGGUCUUCAUUCUCUCAGUUUAAUCGUGCCGUCUUUUCUGAUUCUUUGCCUAAGAAGGACCCUUGUUGUUUCUUGAGAUCGAGAAGGGGCUGCUCUAUCAGAAAAGGAUUGCUUACAAGAAAACUAAAAAAGCCAAUUGGUUUUCCCAAAGAAGUGUAAGGGCCCUAUCAUAGUUGUGAGUUUCAAUAAUCAAUAUUUGAGGAUAUCAAUUUUGUGGGAGAAAGAAGACAUUUGAAGAUAUGGUUUAACUGGACAAGGUAAAGUAAACCAAAAUGGAAACAAGAGAUUCAGGAUGCAUACGUUUCAAUCUUCAUUUAUACAAUUAUAGGUUGUUCUUCACUUCUUUGGUAUCAAAAUUUAAAAUGCAUAUCAUCUUAAUUGAGUUAUCCAACUGUGGAAGUUUUAGAUGGAGCCAUUAGAUUUCAGGACUUUAGGUCACUUUAACCCUGAAAUAUAAGUAGCAUAACCAAAUGGUAAUAUAGAUUAUUUAAAGAGCUGCAAAUAUUUUUGUUCACAAUUCUAUUGACAACCUGCUAUUGACACUUUGAACUUCGGGCUGGCGGGGCGUAAAUCCUUGCAACUCGCAUUUCAACACCCCAACCCCCACUUGCUGCAAAGUUAUCGUGAUUUACCUCCUUCGUGUUGGUCUUGGGGUGGGUUGGCGUGGCGCUGGGGGCGAGCGUAAUCGCCUUUUGCCACAUUAGGUUCUUCAACACUAUUAUUAGGGUUCAAUUAGUAAAAUAAGUGACUAGUUGAUUUAGAACUUGGUUUGAGGUAGAAGUACUGCAAAGAAAGACAUCAUAAUAAAAAGAAAGAUGGUAAAACAUAGAAAUUUCCUAAACCUAGCUAGACUACUUAAUAUGUUUAUAAGUUUUGGUGAAUUUGGAGAAAUGUCUUGAUGCUUAUGUUUCUCUUAAGGCAAGAAGGUUGGUUUAGACUUGUGAUUUCAUCAAGUGAAAAGCACUUCGGGAACUUUUGUGUAAUGAUAUUGUAGUCUAUAUGUUAUUAUCCAACAAUUAUCUUUGUAUUUUUAAAAUAAUUUUGGAUAGUGUGUACACUCUUUACAAAAAUCUUCUUUGCAUAUAGAGAAUAUUUUUCAGUUUGUGGGAUAUGAAAGCUUAAUGAGGAUAUCUCCUUUUAGGAUUUCUUUAUGAUGAUCACAUAUUAGUGAAUUUUAGUUAUUUAGAUAUGAGACACAACUUCACUCAUCAUCUUAAAUCGGUAAAGAAUAUGUUUGAGAAAUAUUCUAACCUUGUGCUUGUUGAUGUAGUUAUAUUUAUAAAAUGGGAAAACAGAGAUAUUACACUUAAGCAUUGAGCUAUUUUGAUGUCAUGACUUAUUAAGCAAAACAACAUAGUUAUUGCAAGUAAGACAAUUAAACGCCCGCAAUGCUCACCAGCAAGUGUUUUGCACUGCACGCUCAUCACAAAUCAUCAUGAUCUAAUGUAAAUCUUUGUCAAAAGAUCAAACCUAAUAGCACCGACACCUUGUACUUCAACAGAAUACAGAUGCUCCUUAUAGUCCUGGACUUUUACUAAAUUGUUCCUCAACACUUACAUCAGGCUUAAUUUGUUUGUAUCGAACAGAGAUGUGCUUCCUUAGCAUAAUAUUACACGCUCCUAAGUCCUAAUAAAGACAUGGUAAAUUGUAUGCCACAACAUCCACUUGUUCCAAAAUUUCAAACAGCCCACUGAAACAUGGUGUCCACUUAUGCUUUUUGCCAAAACACACCCCUUUUAUUGAAGAUGCCCUUAAAAAAAUACAUGAUUGGCUAUGGAAAAUUCAAUAUUCCUCUUACCAACCUGCAUUACUCUUCCAUCAACUCCGGUGGUAUGCUAUAGUUGUCUGUUUUCAGAACCAACUCUGAAGUAGCGUUUUGUUUUCAAAACCAACUCUGAGGUGGCGUUUGGUUUGUGCUGUAGGAAUAGGAAUCAGAAUGGGUUUGAUAGUAGACUGGAAUGAGAAUGGGUAUGAUUAUUUCAAUACAGUGUUUGGUUAGUUUGAUAUUCUGAAAUGGGAAAAAAAAGACAGUUCGGUGCACGAAGCUCCCGUCAUGUGGGGUCCCGGAGAAGGAUCCAUUGUAGACCACCAUCCGUCCAUAUCCUCCUCUCUCAAAAAUGCCCUCUCAUCUCUCAAAAAAAUGUCCUCUCCGUCCACAUCCGCCUUGACUAUUUCAGCGCCGAGAAGCUUCACAAGAUGACUAUCUCAGCCAAAUUGUGACCUUGAAGAUCACUAUCGACACGACGAAUAUCUCAAUGAAUCUGAUUGGUUGGAAGUUGAAAUUGGUUGGAAGUUGAAAGAACUCUACUUUUGGAAUGAAAUAUUAAACCUGAGGAGAGGGAUAGGUUUUAUCCAUUCUCAAAAAUUUGGAUUUCAUUCCCAUUCCCAUUAACCAAACACAACAAAAGGAAAUCAUUCCAAUUUCCGAUUCCCAUACCCCUAAACCAAACACGAAUCUCAUUGACCGAGACAAGCCAAAUAACUGUCUUUCACUAGCCUCUCUGCUAAUUUGUAAAUGAGUUAAUUUUUUAUGAACUGUCUGUUUUCAGGUUUGUGAGAUUUGUUUUCAGGAACAAGAAUUUGUGAGUCUAAACCAAAUAGUUUAGUCCUAUAGAUAAUACCACAUUGCCACCCAUUUUUAUUACCUGUUAACUGAGUGAUGUGGUUAGAUGACUUGGGUGCUAUAGGUUCUCUCAUUAUUCCGUCUUCCAUAAAGCAUUAAUAAUAGGCAAGUUAAGAAUUAUUUCUCUUUCCACUCCCUUGGCUAAAGUUUAAUCAGUUAGUGCCUGCGGCCACUUCAUAUCCAAAGGCCUUAAUAUAAAUAUUUUCCACUUGUCUUGUGUUGCUAAGUCCAAUCCAUGCAGAUGCAUACAAUGCAAUGUAUGCAUCACAAAAAAGCAGUCGAUGUGACAAACUAUGCAGCUAGAGGACUGAACCCAUCGAAAACUAUUGAUUUGGUAGGCUAAAGAAUAUUUCUAAUCUUGAUUGCUGGGUAUAUUAGUUGAUUGAUAAAAUUAGGAUGAUAAGGUCUUGAGCUUAUGCAUUUCUAUAACCUUCUGUGCUGUCUUGGUUCCAAGGAAAUUGGUGCUUAGCCUAAGCAGUCCGUGCCAAUUGGCCCAUGUGAAGACCAUGUUUAUGGGCCCAAGAAUUGGCAUUCCUAUCACUCGGGAGUACGCUUGGCACAAGACGUGUACUUGCUUAACUUUUUUGUAUUCUAGCAUUCGCGUCAAUUAUUAGGAACAUUUUGCUAAUGGGACAUUGGGAACUUGGGGGUUUGUGACUGUUAAAAGGACAAAAAGCACUAUUUCCUAUGGCAUACCAAGACAAAUGUAGUGGAUUUUAUAAGACCAUGGAAGCACUCAAACAACUCAUACUUGAAUGUGGCUACCCUCUCUAUGUGCCAGAAUGAAGACAGACAAUCUGCACAUGAAAUAUACAGAUAUGCUACAAUUGGAGUUUCGCCACCAUCAUGCAGCAGUGGUGCAUAACUAGGCAUGUCCAGCUGAAGAUUUUGGCUGUUCUUGGCAGUGAUAGCUAAAAUAACGCUUACCGAGGCUGCAUUGUAGGCGUUGUCAACAUUUGGGUUCUAUCGUGCAUGGCUGACCUUUAAACUUAGAUUUAUAAUCAAAGAUUGUGUCUUCCAACUAAUUUGUGCUCAAAAUCUUGCAUAGGCUGAAGCCUUCAUGGUUUCUCUCCGUUAACCUACCUCUUACUGAUUGUGCAUGAUUGCCAUUGCGUACCCUCAUGAUUUUGUCUUUGCCCACCGCAGUGUGGUGUUGAACAAUUCUUUGUGGUGCUGAUAAAAAACUGGGAAGCCAAGAUUGUGUACUAAGGACUCCACUCGGACAUUUGUUUUUGUUCAUUCUCUCUCUCUCUCUCUCUCUCUCUCUCUCUCUAGCUUUUGAAUUAUAAUUCUGGUUACUGGUUCUAAUGAAGCAAACCACACACACACAGAGGAAAAAUUAUUUGGAAUCUGUCAUAUCUUCUGCACCUGCCAACUUCAUUUAGACCCAUUUGAAGAGAGAAUGCAAAAGAAUUAAGCAUUGUCUUCUCUAAAUAGGUACUGAUGGGCCCAAUUUCAUACUGGUCAUUAAGAACUCACCAUGUUUUAUGUCCCCACACUCCAACACAUACCAUACUCGAAUCACGUGUCAAAGACGACCAAAUCGAGUUCAUCCAACUGGUUGGGUGCAUGCUAAAGUUCAACCUGCCAGAGGACCCUCCAUGUGGGCCUUCAAUCAUUUGGAUUGUAGCCAUGUCAUCAUUCGUCUAUUGUUAGUCAUUCAUUACAUCAGUUAAUCAGAGGAAAUUAUGUCGACACAUCUCAAGUGUCGGUAAUGCAAAACAACACAUCUCAACUGCUUGGAUUAACAGUUCAGUGUCGCCUGGCUUAUAGCUGCAUAUCGUACAGAAACACCAUCCACUAAUAUAGGUAGAGUAAAUUGAACAAGAAAAUCUCCCGGCACCAGAGUGAGUGGGGCUAUUAUGGACGUCAUCAGUUCCCUUCUUGCAACUUUUAGUUGUGUUUCCAUCUCAGUGCAUGGUUGAGGUUGGCUCCACUAGCUCCGACGGCCAAGAAUCUUCCAUGCCCCUGAUUUUUUUUAUAGCACUUUCCUGUUUAUCAUUACAAAUCUUUUCAAAUUUAAUGCUACUUGAAGACGUUUGGUGCUGUGACAGCGAGGGUGAUGAGACGUUUGUGAGUUCGGUAACCUCGGAGCAGACCAGAUGGAGAGUGUUCCAAAUGAUGGGACCGGUGGUGCAUGGUAUUGUUUAUCCGCCUAUCUUGUUUGGCCAAGGAGGGCACAACAGAGAUUGAAGCGAGGAUAAGAACAGUGGCUGUAGGAGGAGACCAUGCAGAGGUAUGGUUUGUGGGCCGUAAGUCGCCCAUUGCACUGCACAUACAGACGCGGAACUUCUGUAGGCCGCCGAUUCAUCCCCUACAUAUUUUCAACCGAUUUAACAUCUGCUCCACCUGAGAAUAAUUUCCUUAGUAAUCGUGUGCUUAAUUUUCAUCAGUGAGAUGAAAGUUCAGCAAUUGACUUGCGGAACAGAUGUCUGAUAAGAAAAUCAGUUCUUGGUAUACCAUGAUCGAAACAGUCUCCUUUUGUUCUUCUGGGAAUAAUGGAUGUGUCGACCAGUGCUAGUACAGAUUGUUUAGCAUCUAGCUAGUGUUGGUAGU